Homo sapiens (human) is the source of this 204-nucleotide non-coding RNA. The record is from the annotation of a RefSeq genome assembly. NCBI's taxonomy places the organism in Eukaryota, Metazoa, Chordata, Mammalia, Primates, Hominidae.
AUGUCAUUAUCGUGUCUUCUCCUGUGCCUGGUAGCAGGUCCUGAAGAUGCCCUGUCCCAGGAGCAGCUGCAGGAGUCAGCCCUGGACCUGAAUAGCACACACUUACCCUCUGCCUCACCUACACUGUUACUGGCCACUCCGUCACAACCAGUCCUUACUAGUGGACCUGGAUCUGCCGGCUCUCAGGGAGGGGCUGCAAUGGAU